UUCGUCUGCAAUAAAAAAUAAUCAAGUAGCCAAGGCCUAAAUCGCACAAAAAUUAGCUCAUUCAAAAUUUACUGAUUAAUUAGUAGUCUGUGUGUGGUUUAGUGAAACCAAAAACUCGAUAUUACAGCCUUGUAGUGACUAAUGCAUGAUUUUUUUUUCCUUAAAAACAAUUUCUUGGCCGACCAUUAAGCAUUAUCAUCUACAUUCUUCAAAAACACCCAGGUGAAACAACCCACCAUGGAGACCAUGUUGAGAUAAGGUUGCAGAGGAAUAUUUUCAAAAAAGCGGCUUCCUUCAAACGGUUCGAAAUCAAAGAUUUAUUCAUUCACCGAAGAAACGAGUCAAAUGACUCAAACGUCAAUUGGUAUAAAACCCAUCCCCAGCAACGUCAACCUAAAGAAGGAAAGGCCAGUUUGCAUUUCCUUCACUUUCGAAGGUCACGGAGAUCAUUACGUAAAACUGUCAAUGCGGUGGUGUAGAGGUUGGGUGAGGACGACACGUGUAACAUCAUUAUCAAGUAGGUAAAAUAGCCGCAAGGUAUAAGAUGUGGGUCAGGGUUAGAAAAAGUCGUAUAAAAGGAGAGAGAAAAGUCGAAGAAGGAUCAGUCGAGUGAAUACCUCCAUCACGGCAAUAACUGCAGCCCACUAUUUGUCACCAACUGCCUUCUUCAUUGUACAACCAGUUCGCAAUCA
Daphnia pulicaria is the source of this 692-nucleotide long non-coding RNA. RefSeq lists it as uncharacterized. The transcript is spliced from 3 exons. The record is from RefSeq and is a predicted model, not a curated record. NCBI's taxonomy places the organism in Eukaryota, Metazoa, Arthropoda, Branchiopoda, Diplostraca, Daphniidae.